GAUGAACGCAGCGGCAGGCCUAACACAUGCAAGUCGAGGGGUGACAUAGAAAAGCUUGCUUUUCUGAUGACGACCGGCGCACGGGUGCGUAACGCGUAUACAACCUACCUUUUAGCGGGGAAUAGCCCACGGGAAACUUGGAUUAAUGCCCCAUAGUAUAUGGACUUCUCCUGAAGUUUAUAUUAAACAUUUAUGGCUAUUAGAUGGGUAUGCGUCCUAUUAGUUAGUUGGUAAGGUAACGGCUUACCAAGGCAGCGAUAGGUAGGGGUCCUGAGAGGGAGACUCCCCACACUGGUACUGAGACACGGACCAGACUCCGUACGGGAGGCAGCAGUGAGGAAUAUUGGACAAUGGGCGAGAGCCUGAUCCACGCCAUGCCGCGUGCAGGAAGACUCGCCCUAGUGGGUUAGUAAACUGUCUUUUACAGAGGAAGAACCCACCCCACGUGUGGGGGUUUGACGGUACUCUGCGAAUAAGGAUCGGCUAACUCCGUG
Molecule: ribosomal RNA, 494 nt
Filed under: uncultured bacterium
Lineage: Bacteria
Description: bacterial SSU rRNA
Rfam family: Bacterial small subunit ribosomal RNA
Source: RNAcentral